GGGGGGGGGCGGGGGGUGCGCCCCCCCGGGGGCGGGGGCAAGCCCCCCCCCCCCCCCGUGAGGGGAGGUCACGUGGUGCGGGGGGCUGAGGGGAAGCCGCCCUGAGGCGAUUUAACGGCCGCUAAUUAGCUGUUAAUUAGCCGGUAAUUGCCUCACGCCGCGGCCCCCUCCGUGGCUUGGGGCUUUUUUUCCUGUCAGGUUUUGUUUUAUUAACCCCCUGCUGUGCUUAUAAUGCCCGAAGGGGGGUUAAUUCGGGCUGAUCCCAGUCCGUGCUGCCAGCGGCACCGAGCAGGUGCUCGCAGACGGCUGCGCUGCGCCUCCGUCGGUGCCUUUCGGCCCAAAUCCCCUUUGGUUUGCCCUCUUUGGGAUCUGUAGGGUGAGGGACGGGUGCUGGUGGGCGAUAAAGCCCUGCCGUGCCGCCCUGGGGGGGCUGUGGGGGAGCAGAGAGCCGGCCGUGAGGUGCUCGUGCUUCAGGUCCCUGGGGGCAGCCCUCAUCGCUGUGGGGACCGAGCUGCUGCUGGGAUCCUCCGAUCCCUUCUGAGCACACCCUGGGGGCCUGGGGGAUAAAACUGCUUCGCUACGAGGGUCCCCGGUACGUCUCAGACUGCUCUUCCCUUCCCUUCUCCUUCCCCGACACUGCUGCAGGGUGGGAGUGUCAAAACCACCUCUCCCCAAAAUAAUCUCAGCCUCGGAGGCUGGAAAAUGUGACAAAGUGGGCGGCAGAGAGCAGCUGGGGCUGCUUUCCCCACACACAGGAGAAGCCCACCUUGUCCUGCUUUGGGAAUUCCUCCUGAGCACACCAGGCGAAAACCAGGAUUUACAUCUAUUUCACAUUAAUCUCGCUUUAUUUUACCAGGCGAGCCCUGUUGGUGCGUACGUGCUCACAGCCCUCCUCUCCCCGGUGUUUGCGGCUGCUCUGAGUCAGCGCAGCCCCGUCCUGCCUCGCCUGCUCAGUGCCGUUCAGGGGAAGGUUUCAGAGGCUGUAAAGGACACCACGACGGUACCGGCUACCGCCCUGCUUCCCAUCUGUCGUUUUAGGAAGGGCAGCCAGGGCUUUGAUGUGGCCCAGCCAGCCAAGUGGCAUGCUCUCUGCGUGCCUUGCCCGCCGAAAUCCGGGGAAUGCUGCGGAGUGGAAAUCAGGAGUUCAUACGGGAAUGGUUUGGAGUUCCUCUGGUGGCCUGUAUCCUGGAGGGAUGAAGAUGGUGGGGUGAGCGGGGCAUUUCAUCUGACAUAUUAUCGUGGUAUGGAAGUCAGCCGGGACUUUCCUCCUUCUAACAAAAGUAACAGCAUGUCUACACCCCCAAAUACACGUGUUUUGGUAACAGUCAUGUGAAUAAAGGUCAUUCUUUUUUUUAAGCCUACCUUCUUUUCAUAUUUUUUGAACUAUUGACUAGUUUCAGCCACGUAAGACAGAUGCGGUGGAGCAAAACUCUGAGUAAAUUUAAUAUUGCAGGAACCACUACCAGUUGUAUGAUGCUAACAUGUGAUCCAACCCCCACUGCAUAUGUGUUAGCUCAUAUUCAAGCAAGCAAAUAGUUUCUGGAUAGGGAAAUGCAGGUCCAAAAUGGCAGGUAGUAAGUCCUCCAUACAGGAAAGACUAAACAGUGCCCAGUUUGACUCCCCGCACCCAAAACAACCCUCCAGUAUGUCUUGGCAGGCCUUGAGCUCUCCUAUCCCAGAGCUAUCUCUUGCCAAAUGCCUCUGGUCACAUACCACACCCUUGGCAUCACAGCACAAAACACAGCACUGGCAUGCUGCUAAGCAAUCAUCCCGCGAUUAGUAAUUGAUUUUUUUUUUUCCUUAAGACGUCACAGGAACUAAGGGCACCCUUUUGGGGCCCGAGAAGAUCAAGGCCUUCUGCCUCAUUUACACAGACGUCACUGGAGUCGUGGCUUUGCUGCUCGGGUAGCCCAGAUAGUCUCUUGGCAGCAUGGCAAGAAUUGAGCAAUAUUUUUUUUAUUAUUAUCAUUUUUCAUUCAUUAUCAUUUUAUUAUCAUCCAGUAUCUGAAGCUCGCCCCAGGGGGAUGUGCCUCGGCCCUGCGUCUUGCCGUUGGAGACGUGCACUUCGGUCUUACAGCUCAUGGUUGUCAUGAGGCAACCCUUGGCUCAGCUCCUCUGUCCUGCAGCUCGUCCUUGGAGGCACGCUGCACCUCGGUCCCACCAAGUGAUGGCAUCCGUGGUGAUUCCCAGCCUCCAAAGGGCAGUGGCAGUUCUCCUGUCUGUGCAGGAGGGUCCAAUAAUUGGCCAAACUUAUUGCGACGUGCCUUGACCUCCAGCAGGCCCAGUGCCGUGAUGACUGCCCUGUGGAGCCUGUCCCAGUGCCCGAGCACCCUCUGGGUGCAGACCCUUUCCCUACCCCCCAGCCUGACCCUCCCCUGUCCCAGCUCCAUGCCGUUCCCUCGGGUCCUGUCGCUGUCCCCAGAGAGCAGAGCUCAGCGCCUGCCCCUCCGCUCCCCUCGUGAGGGAGCUGCAGGCCGCCAUGAGGCCUCCCCUCAGCCUGCUCUGCUCGGGGCUCAGCAAACCAAGGCACCUCAGCCACCCCUCACAUAUCUGGACCCCUCAACCAGCUGAAAGUCCAAGGUCUCCUCUCUGCAAGGGGAAGAAGGGCCCGUGGGCGAGGUCAGUGCCUGGAGGGCAGCAGAUGUCUCUGCACGCAGCUCUUGCAAAACAGCGUCUGAGGAGCACGGCGGGCGCUGGGGAGCGUGCUGGCGUGGGAGGGCAGCGCAGCCCGGGCAGGAGGCCUCGCUCAGUUUAUUCCAUGGGGCAGCAGCCGACUGCCACUGUCUGUCAGGGGCAGCAGAGGCAGAGAGUUACUGGGGUUACUUUUCAGGGUACAGCUGGAAGACUGGGGUCACAGGCUUUGUGACCAAGCAGUUUUCAGAGCUGAUUCACAAGUGUAGCUUUUUUAAAAAAUAAAAAUAAAGAAGAGAAUAAGACUUGCUUACAACUAGGUCCAUUCUUCUGGGAGAGACUUGGCACUCAUUUCUCACUACUCUCAAAAAUACUUAGUUUUAUGAUUUCUUUCUUUCAUUUUCAACAUUUUCCAAGUAUUUUCCAGUCAAUGAGGCAACUUGGUGUGGGUUUUGUAGGUGAGCUGUGCUUUCACACCACUAUGACUGGCUGAAGGCUGGCUGACACGGUCCCUUCCAGCAGCCCGUUAAGCCUCGUCAUGGGUGCUGCUGCUGAAAAGCGGCUGCGGGUUCCGCAGUACUGGCAGCACAAAGGCAUUCUUGCAAAUUGCUCUUUCAUCUCACUUUGUUUAGGGACAGAAAACGCUGAUAUCUGGCAGACAGAAAGAGGGCGUGAUUCUGCAGCUGUUGAUUCCCAGGGUGGCGAAUUAUUUGGAGCAGGGACUGAAAGACAGCACGUGAAAGCUAGAUCCCUACCAGGAGAAAUCAUGUGUCCGGCUGCUGGGUUCAGGAGCCGCUCCUGAAGGCCGUGUUUGUUUAUUUGAUGGCACCAGUCAUUGUAAAAGAAACACUGAUGUUGCAAUGUUUAUGUGCAUGUGCGUGUUUGUUUUGCAGCUGGAACGGUUUUAAUCAUCACUCGGAAAACAGCAUCAUCCCACUCUGAGUGGUCGGGAUCACGUGCUUACCAGGAACCAGCUUCAGAUCCCUCCCAAAAAAUGGACAUUUCCUGCAUCGGUGGGAGCGUGGGUGGCACAGAAAGCAGCAAACAAGAGCCUGGGGUUCCUGUGACCCCCCUUAUUUGACAAAGCCUUUCACGGACACAUUUGCCACAUUUCUGUUCUGCUUAUGUUUUCUUAUAUCCAUUACAUGUACCUGGAUGCACAAGCGGUGGGUGCCCUCCUCAUGGGUCCUGCUCAUGAUCAGUGUUGCCUGACGCUGGUGCUGGGACACGAAUACAGACAGAAGUAGCACAGGUGGAACUCCUUUGGCUUCUUUCGUCCUCAGGAAGCUUUGACAUUAACCUCGAAUUCAAAGCAACCUCAGGAGACCAAAAGAUGCCUACGGCUAUAGGCUGUACCGUACAGCUCUCUGGAGCAGGUCACAUCUGUGAUAAUUCUCCAGAAAGCUCUGUCUGCUCUUCUGUCUCCUGGAGAACACUUGG
RNAcentral lists this long non-coding RNA (4071 nucleotides) under Anas zonorhyncha (Eastern spot-billed duck). RNAcentral's name for it is "lncRNA (ENSAZOG00000017468.1)". Lineage: Eukaryota; Metazoa; Chordata; Aves; Anseriformes; Anatidae. The record is from RNAcentral.